GGACGAACGCUGGCGGCGUGCUUAACACAUGCAAGUCACGGGGGGCUCGGCAAGGGCAACCGGCGAACGGGUGCGUAACACGUGAGCAACCUGCCGAUCUGAGGGGGAUAGCCGGCCCAACGGCCGGGUAAUACCGCAUACGUUCUUGUGGCCUCAUGGCUAUGAGAAGAAACCUCGGGGCAGAUCGAGGGGCUCGCGGCCUAUCAGCUAGUUGGCGGUGUAAUGGACCACCAAGGCGACGACGGGUAGCUGGUCUGAGAGGAUGGCCAGCCACAUUGGGACUGAGAGACGGCCAGACUCCUACGGGAGGCAGCAGUGGGGAAUCUUGCGCAA
Molecule: ribosomal RNA, 333 nt
Filed under: uncultured bacterium
Lineage: Bacteria
Description: bacterial SSU rRNA
Rfam family: Bacterial small subunit ribosomal RNA
Source: RNAcentral